Molecule: ribosomal RNA, 253 nt
Filed under: uncultured bacterium
Lineage: Bacteria
Description: partial 16S ribosomal RNA
Rfam family: Bacterial small subunit ribosomal RNA
Source: RNAcentral
UACGAAGGGGGCUAGCGUUGCUCGGAAUCACUGGGCGUAAAGGGUGCGUAGGCGGGUCUUUAAGCCAGGGGUGAAAUCCUGGAGCUCAACUCCAGAACUGCCUUCGAUACUGGAGAGCUUGAGUCCGGGAGAGGUGAGUGGAACUGCGAGUGUAGAGGUGAAAUUCGUAGAUAUUAGGAAGAACACCAGUGGCGAAGGCGGCUCACUGGCCCGGUACUGACGCUGAGGCGCGAAAGCGUGGGGAGCAAACAGG